GCGCGAAAACUUUACAAUGCUGGCAACAGCGAUAAGGGAACCUCGAGUGCCAGGUUACAAAUCUGGCUGUCGAGAUGCCUAAAAAGCAUUUCAUAGCAAGGGCCGGGCAAGACCGGUGCCAGCCGCCGCGGUAACACCGGCGGCUCGAGUGGUAACCGUUAUUAUUGGGUCUAAAGGGUCUGUAGCCGGCCGGAUAAGUCUCUUGAGUAAUCUGGCAGCUUAACUGUCAGGCUUUCAGGAGAUACUGUCUGGCUCGAGGCCGGGAGAGGUGAGAGGUACUUCAGGGGUAGGGGUGAAAUCUUGUAAUCCUUGAAGAACCACCAGUGGCGAAGGCGUCUCACCAGAACGGACCUGACAGCAAGGGACGAAAGCUAGGGGCACGAACCG
RNAcentral lists this ribosomal RNA (387 nucleotides) under uncultured bacterium. Its description in RNAcentral is "bacterial SSU rRNA". It matches the Rfam family "Archaeal small subunit ribosomal RNA", at positions 339 to 726 of the family's 1478-position model. The record is from RNAcentral.